This 1001-nucleotide ribosomal RNA is filed under the name Bacillus subtilis. Its description in RNAcentral is "bacterial SSU rRNA". It matches the Rfam family "Bacterial small subunit ribosomal RNA", at positions 48 to 1020 of the family's 1533-position model. Lineage: Bacteria; Bacillati; Bacillota; Bacilli; Caryophanales; Bacillaceae. The record is from RNAcentral.
UCAUUGCCCAGUUACGAAGCCGGACAGAUGGGAGCUUUAGCUUCCCUUGAUUGUUUAGCGGCGGACGGGUGAGUUAACACGUGGGUUAACCUGCCUGUAAGACUGGGAUAACUCCGGGAAACCGGGGCUAAUACCGGAUGGUUGUUUGAACCGCAUGGUUCAAACAUAAAAGGUGGCUUCGGCUACCACUUACAGAUGGACCCGCGGCGCAUUAGCUAGUUGGUGAGGUAACGGCUCACCAAGGCAACGAUGCGUAGCCGACCUGAGAGGGUGAUCGGCCACACUGGGACUGAGACACGGCCCAGACUCCUACGGGAGGCAGCAGUAGGGAAUCUUCCGCAAUGGACGAAAGUCUGACGGAGCAACGCCGCGUGAGUGAUGAAGGUUUUCGGAUCGUAAAGCUCUGUUGUUAGGGAAGAACAAGUACCGUUCGAAUAGGGCGGUACCUUGACGGUACCUAACCAGAAAGCCACGGCUAACUACGUGCCAGCAGCCGCGGUAAUACGUAGGUGGCAAGCGUUGUCCGGAAUUAUUGGGCGUAAAGGGCUCGCAGGCGGUUUCUUAAGUCUGAUGUGAAAGCCCCCGGCUCAACCGGGGAGGGUCAUUGGAAACUGGGGAACUUGAGUGCAGAAGAGGAGAGUGGAAUUCCACGUGUAGCGGUGAAAUGCGUAGAGAUGUGGAGGAACACCAGUGGCGAAGGCGACUCUCUGGUCUGUAACUGACGCUAAGGAGCGAAAUCGUGGGGAGCGAACAGGAUUAGAUACCCUGGUAGUCCACGCCGUAAACGAUGAUUGCUAACUGUUAGGGGGUUUCCGCCCCUUAUUGCUGCAGCUAACGCACUAAGCACUCCACCUGCCGACUACGUUCGCACGACUGAUUCUCAAAGGAAUUUACAGAGGCCCCGCCACAACCCUUUAGCAUCUAAUUUAUUUCAAAUCAACGCCGACAAACUUAACAAAGCUUGGCGUCGGCUGACAAUCCUAGACAUAGUAGUUCGCCUU